RNAcentral lists this long non-coding RNA (1282 nucleotides) under Homo sapiens (human). Its description in RNAcentral is "HSALNT0216424". The record is from RNAcentral. Lineage: Eukaryota; Metazoa; Chordata; Mammalia; Primates; Hominidae.
GCGAGUCCUGUGGCGCGGGGGAGGGGCGGGCGUCUCCUGGACUUGCUUCCACCCGGCUUAAUCCCGCCCGGGGCGGCUCCAACUCCACUGUCGCGCUGUUCUCGGACCAAACUGAGAGUGGGGCGGCUAUUUCUCGGGGCCCAAUGACGAGAUGCAGAUGAACUGAGGAGGAAGAGCGUUUUUAUUUUCUGCAACUGGUUACAGGGAGAAAGGCCUGGAAAUGAUCACCGGACCAACUCAAAAUUACAGUUUUCCAGAACUUACAUACCUUCUAAGCGGUAUGUCUACGUGGCCUUGCUGUGUCACCCAGGCUGGAGUGCAGUGGUGUGAUCAUAGCUCACUGUGAGGCAGGAAAUUAAGGAAAGAAAGAAUAAUAAAAUUUUAAAAAGAGAAAAAUAAGCUUUCUAUAUUAGGCUGACUCAUCCCAAAGGCAGUAACAGACAAAGCCCAGACCCAGACGAAGUCUUGAUAACAUCAUCAAAGAAGCAGAGGCUCAAAGGAGUGUGCUCUGGAGACUCUCCCAGCACUCCCUCAACAUAAGGAUAAGAAAAAGUUCCCCCUCGAACCCCAACCCCCUCCAUGUGAUUGUACCUUGCUCUGCAAGUUUUAUGAAUUUAUAGAUUCUUGUUUUCUGUAACUAGAAACUUCAAGUAUUCUGUUUUAUCUAAGCAGCACAGUGAAGGUUAUACAACAUGCCUGAGCAGGCCUGGGCUGCGGCCUUCUGGGCCCCAUAGCGAAGGUUAUGAGAUAAGCCUGUGCAAGGCUCUUUUAAGCAAGCCUAGAUAACAGCCAUCUGGACUGCAUAGCAAGAAUUACAUGUAACCCUGGGUUAUGCACCUGUCACAAUUUGAUUAACUGCCUAUGUUCUGUCUCUGUAUCCUUGCUUUCAUGCCACUGUAAGCUUGUUUCAAACUAGCCCACUCCCGUUCAAAGGUGUGUAUAUGAGUCAAGUGCUGUCUUUGUUCUGGGCCCAGUUUUUGGAUGUUAAUCCACUGGGUCUGAGUGCACUCAAUAAAAUUCUCAUGUCCCACCUACCUGUCUCUCCAGUCUCCUGAUUCCCACAACAACCGCAGCCUGUAGCUGGGACUACAGCUACAUUCUUUAAAUUUUGUAGAGAUGGGGUCUUGCUAUGUUGCUCAUGCUGGUCUCCUACUUCUAGCCUCAAGUGAUACUCCCACCUCAGCCUUCCAAAGUGCUGUGAUUACAGGCGUGAGCCACCAUGCUGGGGCACUUCACCCAGCCUUCUUGCUAGUUCUUGAUUUCAAGGGUGAAGGGGCAGGUU